RNAcentral lists this ribosomal RNA (450 nucleotides) under uncultured bacterium. RNAcentral's name for it is "partial 16S ribosomal RNA". It matches the Rfam family "Bacterial small subunit ribosomal RNA", at positions 354 to 796 of the family's 1533-position model. The record is from RNAcentral.
GUGGGGAAUAUUCCGCAAUGGACGAAAGUCUGACGGAGCAACGCCGCGUGAGUGAUGAAGGUUUUCGGACUGUAAAGCUCUGUUGUUUAGGACGAAAGUGCCUGUUGCGAACAGUUACAGGUAUUGACGGUACUGAACGAGGAAGCCACGGCUAACUACGUGCCAGCAGCCGCGGUAAUACGUAGGUGGCAAGCGUUGUCCGGAAUUAUUGGGCGUAAAGAGCAUAUAGGCGGGAAUCUAAGUCUGUUGUGAAAAUGCGGGGCUCAACCCCGUAUUGCGAUGGAAACUGGGUUUCUUGAGUGCAGGAGAGGAAAGGGGAAUUCCCAGUGUAGCGGUGAAAUGCGUAGAUAUUGGGAGGAACACCAGUGGCGAAGGCGCCUUUCUGGACUGUGUCUGACGCUGAGAUGCGAAAGCCAGGGUAGCGAACGGGAUUAGAAACCCGAGUAGUCC